RNAcentral lists this unclassified non-coding RNA (391 nucleotides) under soil metagenome. RNAcentral describes it as "partial contains 5.8S ribosomal RNA, internal transcribed spacer 2, and large subunit ribosomal RNA". The stretch from base 1 to 122 matches the Rfam family "5.8S ribosomal RNA", at positions 35 to 154 of the family's 154-position model. The record is from RNAcentral.
GAUGAAGAACGUAGCGAAAUGCGAUACUUGGUGUGAAUUGCAGAAUCCCGUGAACCAUCGAGUCUUUGAACGCAAGUUGCGCCCGAAGCCAUUAGGCCGAGGGCACGCCUGCCUGGGCGUCACACGUCGUUGCCCCCCCAUCUACUCCUUCGGGAUUGCGGGGGGCGGAUGAUGGCCUCUCGUGCGCCUCGUCGCGCGGUUGGCCUAAAUGCCAAGUCCUCGGCGACGCACGCCACGACAAUCGGUGGUUGCGAAACCUCGGUUGCCUGUCGUGUGCGGUCGUCGCGCAUCGAGGGCUCGAGAAAAUUGCCGGGCUUCGGCUCGACUUUCAACGCGACCCCAGGUCAGGCGGGGUUACCCGCUGAAUUUAAGCAUAUCAAUAAGCGGAGGA